This 721-nucleotide long non-coding RNA is filed under the name Marmota monax (woodchuck). The record is from RNAcentral. Lineage: Eukaryota; Metazoa; Chordata; Mammalia; Rodentia; Sciuridae.
GUCGGCCCUUGCGGCGCGCGCCCGGGACCGGCCCAAGCUUUCCACUCGGGCCGGCGGGCUCGUGGGUUCGUUUGCCCCGCCCCCCGGCGCCGCUGCUGGGCGCUUGCGCGGGGCGCGUGGCCGUGGUCCGGGUCUCCGCCGCAGACCGAGCUGCUGCCGCCGCCGCCGCCUCAGUCAGUCAGUCCCCAGCAAUGGCGGAAGGAGGUGAGCGAGAGGAGCUGCUCUCGCCACCGCCGGUCUCUCCGGCAAAGCGGUUGUGCUCAUGGCCCAGCCCGCAGGCUCGCAACCCCCGCGGUUCUCCGGGGGCUACUAGCGGAGGGGCGGGGGGCGUCGGCAGCAGCUGCCUGGCCCCGGGGGCCCGCCCCCACCUGCAGCCGGAGUCCUUGCUGGACUGCGCCGCCAAGACGGUGGCGGAAAAGUGGGCGUACGAACGGGUGGAGGAGCGCUUCGAGCGGAUCCCGGAGCCGGUGCAGCGCCGCAUCGUCUACUGGUCCUUCCCGCGGAAUGAGCGGGAGAUCUGCAUGUACUCCAGCUUCCAGUACCGGGGCGGCCCCGGCGCCGGCGCGGCUGGCGGCGCCACGGGGGCUUCGCCGGCCGAGGAGGGGCCGCCGCCACCCCCCGGGGCCGCUGCUCCGGCCGGCUCCGCCCCCGGGGCCGCUUCGGCGGGGGCAUCCCCUGGGCUAGGCACUGGGGCUGGCGCGGCUGGUGGCGGCAGUAGCGG